This 82-nucleotide small nucleolar RNA is filed under the name Coturnix japonica (Japanese quail). Its description in RNAcentral is "Small nucleolar RNA SNORD87 (ENSCJPG00005011671.1)". Lineage: Eukaryota; Metazoa; Chordata; Aves; Galliformes; Phasianidae. The record is from RNAcentral.
GCUGGCAUCGUGAUGAUUGUGACUCUUUGCCGUUUACCCAGCUGAUAUUUGUGAUGAGUUACACUGUAUCUGAUGUGCCAGC